GCUCAGCUUGCUCUUGGAAAGGGAGAUGAAGACCUUGCUCGUGAAGCUCUGAAAAGAAAAAAAUCUUAUGCUGAUAAUGCAAAUGCCUUAAAGACUCAACUUGAUCAGCAGAAGGCCGUGGUUGACAAUCUGGUCAGCAAUACACGGCUUUUGGAGAGCAAGAUACAAGAAGCAAAAUCAAAGAAGGAUACUCUGAAAGCACGUGCUCAGUCAGCAAAGACGGCAACCAAAGUAAGUGAGAUGUUGGGAAAUGUAAACACAAGCAGCGCUCUCUCAGCCUUCGAAAGAAUGGAAGAAAAAGUUUUGACGAUGGAGUCUCAAGCAGAUGCUCUUAACCAGUUAACCAGUGAUGAGCUUGAAGGAAAGUUUGCAUUACUGGAGACCUCUUCUGUUGAUGAUGAUCUUGCUAGCUUAAAAAAGGAAUUGAGCGGAAGCGCCAAGAAAGGGGAUCUUCCACCGGGGAGAACACCAGUUACCAGAUCAAGCUCGCCAUUACAAUUUCAAGAUUCAGAGAUUGAAAAAGAAUUGAACGAGUUAAGGAGGCGGGCAAAUGACUUCUAGAGAUCACAGUCGAUCUUUCACACUACAAAACAUCUUCCUUCAGGCAUUUGUUACUCAAAGAUUGUGGCUUUUGGAUCUUCCGAGAAGUUGCCUCAUCGAUAAAGGCCAGCGAAUAUAGGAAGUGAAACUGGAAAAAGUAUAUUGAGAUAUGUUGAUAUAUCUUUUUUCAAAUUAUUGACCUACAUUAUGGCAAUAUAGUGUAAGCUAGUCCUGACUACAGUUUUGUAUACUGCCACCCAAAUGUUUUCAUGUGAGAAUAGUCACUUCAAG
RNAcentral lists this unclassified non-coding RNA (831 nucleotides) under Hevea brasiliensis (rubber tree). Lineage: Eukaryota; Viridiplantae; Streptophyta; Magnoliopsida; Malpighiales; Euphorbiaceae. The record is from RNAcentral.